AUUUAUAUAGUUUAAUAAAAACAUUACAUUUUCAUUGUAAAAUUAGAAUUUAUUUUUAUAAAUA
This 64-nucleotide transfer RNA is filed under the name Austroselasia pulchra. RNAcentral's name for it is "tRNA-Glu". The record is from RNAcentral. Lineage: Eukaryota; Metazoa; Arthropoda; Insecta; Coleoptera; Elateridae.